This 65-nucleotide non-coding RNA is filed under the name uncultured Prevotella sp. RNAcentral describes it as "L13-Bacteroidia ribosomal protein leader". It matches the Rfam family "L13-Bacteroidia ribosomal protein leader", at positions 11 to 73 of the family's 73-position model. Lineage: Bacteria; Pseudomonadati; Bacteroidota; Bacteroidia; Bacteroidales; Prevotellaceae. The record is from RNAcentral.
AGAGUUUCCACAGUCCUGCUGUGUUAAUAGUUGCACCAAUGGCCGGGCGCAGUGGUUAGUGAAUC